This is a long non-coding RNA of Seriola aureovittata, 1558 nucleotides long. RefSeq lists it as uncharacterized. NCBI's taxonomy places the organism in Eukaryota, Metazoa, Chordata, Actinopteri, Carangiformes, Carangidae. The record is from RefSeq and is a predicted model, not a curated record. The transcript is spliced from 4 exons.
UGAGCCCUGUUUUUUAGUUUACAUUUUGGCCAUAUUGCGUUAGCUGUUAGCAGUUUCUGUUGGAGCUUUAACCAUGGAUGUACACACAUCAGUGACACGGAUGACAAUUAUACGAAUGAAAACGUCUGAAAUGACGCUUGUGAGACAAGAUUUGAAGUUUCAAGAAGUCCAUUUUUGUAAGGCUUUGGAGUGGAUUCGUCGAUGCUUCUCCUUUAAUGACAUCGGAAAAUAUUGGAAAUAAUGUACGACUGAGAAGAGUGAAGACUGUGUGGCGUUGUGGGCGAUGCUGAGUCCAUCCUGUUAGACCUGAGUCUACCUGUGGUUUAAUUUAUAAACUUCCUAAAUUUCCUGGAAUAUUCGGCACACCUCGUCAUACAGGACAGCCUUAGUGUGGUCUUGUCCAGCCCCAGUACCAACGCCGGAGUUCUGGAAAUCAUAGCUGGAUGCCAGGGAUUCAUGCUGGUUGUCCAUAAUGUUCAGCAGCCUGUCCUAUGCUGUGGAGAUGGCGUGAGCAUGGAGCACAUGGUCCACCAUUUUCAUGCCAGAUGCAACGGUGCAACUCCUGUUCUGUAUUUGGAUCAGUUGGUGGAUGCUCUUGCUGAGUUCCAAAACGAAAUUGUCCUCCAGCAGAGGUGGUGGUUAUGGUGCAAUGCUGCAGCAAUUUCUGCGGAGGUCCCCGGGUUUCAUCUGUCAUGCACAAACCCAGAACAUGCACCUCUGGAUGAUGAAGACUGGUUCUGCAGCGAGGCAUAUGAGCAGAAUGGAUCAUAUAAAUCGAUUGUUACUGCUACUAAAGUCAAAGAGGGUGGGGUGGGCACCGGGUACACUGUGUACUUGUAGACAGCUGCAGUUGAUUUGAGGGGUACCAUGUUCAGUGUCUCGUGAAAAGGAUGGCAUUAGACAGUGUAAUGGAGGUCUCUUUAAUACAAUUUAUAAGCUAAGGAAUGCACCACAUAUAAAUUAGUGAUUACCAAGGUUAAUUGCAGAUAUACAGUGACAGAAAGGCAUGAAAUGUGAAAAAAAUACUGUCAUUGUAAAUGAUGUGUGUACCACAGCAUAAUCGUGCUGCUCUGACGUUUCUUGUAAAUGCAGAAAAUGAGGACCAGAUCCAAAGAUUUUUUCAAAGCUGUCGCUGAAGAACGAUUCUGCCACCUGGCCAGACAUCACACUGUGUGGGUGGGUGAUGGUGAUGACAGAGUUCUAGGAAAUGAACCUAAUUUGUUUUUGGGACAGCAUCAAUUUUUGACUGGUAAGACUUGUGAACCUAGACUUUAUACAUUUUUAAUAAUUUGAAAGAUGUGUUCAUUAAGUAACAGUAACAAAAUUGUCUUGUAAUAUAUGAUAGAGGGCUUAAACAAGGAUAAUGACAUACAGUAUAAUCUGAGAUGUAAGUGGGUAGCAAACCUGCAAGGUUAACUGGGAGGAAAUAUUGGUUUAGACUUUAGUGAAUAAGAUGACGAAAAAUUUGUUCAAAGGUUUGAAUUUCAAUGCAUUCAGUGUUUGAUGCAUGAUACUUGAACCAGCGUCUGAAUGAAAAUAAAAGAUUCUUUAUUCUUCA